UAUGGAGGGUGCAAACGUUGCUCGGAAUCAUUGGGCGUAAAGCGCACGUAGGCGGUCCAGUAAGUCGGGUGUGAAAUCCCUCGGCUCAACCGAGGAAGUGCAUUCGAAACUACUGAACUUGAGUAUGGAAGAGGGUCGCGGAAUUCCCGGUGUAGAGGUGAAAUUCGUAGAUAUCGGGAGGAACACCAGUGGCGAAGGCGGCGACCUGGGCCAAUACUGACGCUGAGGUGCGAAAGCGUGGGGAGCAAACAGG
RNAcentral lists this ribosomal RNA (253 nucleotides) under uncultured bacterium. RNAcentral describes it as "partial 16S ribosomal RNA". It matches the Rfam family "Bacterial small subunit ribosomal RNA", at positions 524 to 776 of the family's 1533-position model. The record is from RNAcentral.